Molecule: long non-coding RNA, 595 nt
Filed under: Sorghum bicolor (sorghum)
Lineage: Eukaryota; Viridiplantae; Streptophyta; Magnoliopsida; Poales; Poaceae
Description: long non-coding RNA (SBIC_LNC003300)
Source: RNAcentral
UCAAAAACAUGUUUGAUUUAUUUGCAUAAAUAGGCUCACCUCUAGAAAACAUUGCCACCAAAACUACUACAACGAUGGUUCUUCCAUUGCAAUUAGCAAUAAAGCAUGUGGUGUGAUCAUAAACGAAGGCUGACGUGAGGUUCGAGGUCAUGAGUUUCAAUCCUCGAGAAUGCACGCGUGUAUUUAGCACGACUCGUGUCAUGUAUCUAUGAGGUAUAGCCGCUUGGAAAAACAAUUUUUUUCUGUUUUCUCCCUUUUUUUGCAAUUUUUUUCUUAAAGGAUUUCUAGACUGGUUACUGGAAAUACACUAGAAAUCGAUUUUCAGUGGUAUUCACUGCAUAUCAAUGUUGGUUGCAUACUUGCAUCUAAAAAUAUUUCUAUAGUAGUACAUUGCAUUCAUUUAUUUGAACUUAAACAUUUUUAACAAUUUGAUCAAAAUUAGAGAAGCUUGACUUAGGACAUAGCCAAAGUAACACUACGGGGGACACAAAUGCUUUGUCGAGUGUCUCUGGCACUGAGCAAAGGUCUAAAAACACUCGGCAAAGCCUUUGCCGAGUGCCACACUCGGCAAAGAGCAUACGGUAAAAAUCUGGUC